GAUGAAGAACGUAGCGAAAUGCGAUAAAUAAUGUGAAUUGCAGAAUUCAGUGAAUCAUCGAGUCUUUGAACGCACAUUGCGCCCCCUGGUAUUCCGGGGGGCAUGCCUGUCCGAGCGUCAUUGCUGCCCUCAAGCACGGCUUGUGUGUUGGGCCCCGUCCUCCGAUCCCGGGGGACGGGCCCGAAAGGCAGCGGCGGCACCGCGUCCGGUCCUCGAGCGUAUGGGGCUUUGUCACCCGCUCUGUAGGCCCGGCCGGCGCUUGCCGAUCAACCCAAAUUUUUAUCCAGGUUGACCUCGGAUCAGGUAGGGAUACCCGCUGAACUUAAGCAUAUCAAUAAGCGGAGGA
Molecule: unclassified non-coding RNA, 346 nt
Filed under: soil metagenome
Description: partial contains 5.8S ribosomal RNA, internal transcribed spacer 2, and large subunit ribosomal RNA
Rfam family: 5.8S ribosomal RNA (bases 1-120)
Source: RNAcentral